CAUGCAAGUCGAGCGGUAACAGGAGAAAGCUUGCUUUCUUGCUGACGAGCGGCGGACGGGUGAGUAAUGUAUGGGGAUCUGCCCGAUAGAGGGGGAUAACUACUGGAAACGGUGGCUAAUACCGCAUAAUGUCUACGGACCAAAGCAGGGGCUCUUCGGACCUUGCACUAUCGGAUGAACCCAUAUGGGAUUAGCUAGUAGGUGGGGUAAAGGCUCACCUAGGCGACGAUCUCUAGCUGGUCUGAGAGGAUGAUCAGCCACACUGGGACUGAGACACGGCCCAGACUCCUACGGGAGGCAGCAGUGGGGAAUAUUGCACAAUGGGCGCAAGCCUGAUGCAGCCAUGCCGCGUGUAUGAAGAAGGCCUUAGGGUUGUAAAGUACUUUCAGCGGGGAGGAAGGUGAUAAGGUUAAUACCCUUAUCAAUUGACGUUACCCGCAGAAGAAGCACCGGCUAACUCCGUGCCAGCAGCCGCGGUAAUACCGAGGGUGCAAGCGUUAAUCGGAAUUACUGGGCGUAAAGCGCACGCAGGCGGUCAAUUAAGUCAGAUGUGAAAGCCCCGAGCUUAACUUGGGAAUUGCAUCUGAAACUGGUUGGCUAGAGUCUUGUAGAGGGGGGUAGAAUUCCAUGUGUAGCGGUGAAAUGCGUAGAGAUGUGGAGGAAUACCGGUGGCGAAGGCGGCCCCCUGGACAAAGACUGACGCUCAGGUGCGAAAGCGUGGGGAGCAAACAGGAUUAGAUACCCUGGUAGUCCACGCUGUAAACGAUGUCGAUUUAGAGGUUGUGGUCUUGAACCGUGGCUUCUGGAGCUAACGCGUUAAAUCGACCGCCUGGGAGUACGGCCGCAAGGUUAAAACUCAAAUGAAUUGACGGGGCCCGCACAAGCGGUGGAGCAUGUGGUUAAAUUCGAUGCACCGCGAAGAACCUUACCUACUCUUGACAUCCAGCGAAUCCUUUAGAGAUAGAAGGAGUGCCUUCGGGAACGCUGAGACAGGUGCUGCAUGGCUGUCGUCAGCCUCGUGUUGUGAAAUGUUGGGUUAAGUCCCGCAACGAAGCGCAACCCUUAUCCUUUGUUGCCAGCACGUAAUGGUGGGAACUCAAAGGAGACUGCCGGUGAUAAACCGGAGGAAGGUGGGGAUGACGUCAAGUCAUCAUUGGCCCUUACAAGUAAGGCUACACACGUUGCUACAAUGGCAGAUACAAAGAGAAGCGACCUCGCGAGAGCAAGCGGAACUCAUAAAGUCUGUCGUAAUCCGGAUUGGAGUCUGCAACUCGACUCCAUGAAGUCGGAAUCGCUAGUAAUCGUAGAUCAGA
RNAcentral lists this ribosomal RNA (1313 nucleotides) under Proteus mirabilis. RNAcentral's name for it is "bacterial SSU rRNA". It matches the Rfam family "Bacterial small subunit ribosomal RNA", at positions 54 to 1353 of the family's 1533-position model. Lineage: Bacteria; Pseudomonadati; Pseudomonadota; Gammaproteobacteria; Enterobacterales; Morganellaceae. The record is from RNAcentral.